AUAGCAUAGAAUAAAACUAAUGGAAAUUUUCAGAUAAUUGUAGCUUUUCUGUCAUUGUAACUGAAGCCCCAAAAGGAGAAACUUACCUUAAAAAAAGAAGCAACCAACAAUCAUAAAAGCAGAGAGAGCUUAAAAGCCUUUAUCAGUAGCAAUGCUUGUCGCAACAAGCAGGUGGAUUCAUUAACAGUAGCAAGUCGCAACAAGCAGACUUGACCAACUACCAGAAUGCUUCAAAACUUUGCGCUUAGAGUUAAAUGUUGGAAGAUACUCCACCAAGUUUUGUGCAACUUCAUUGCUCAAACAGUACACACCUUCCUUGGCUACCUCAAAAAUAUGAAAGUUCAUUUAUGACUCUGAUAAAGCAAUUACUAGUCAAAUAGUUCAGAUAAAUAUGCAGAGCACGUAAAAGUUCAUUAUCAAGAGGUAAAAGUUCAGUCCCCUUAGAAUUACAAUUUUAAACAGAGUGAGAUGACUUUAGCAAUAAUAACUUGAAAUCCACAGAAGCAGAGCACGUAAAAUAAACAAAAAUAGACUAUUUGUAGGCUAUGCAGGCCAAAAGUUGAUAGCCUAUGCUAGUUGUUCUAAACGUUGAUAGGCUAUUGCGGUCUAGCCAUAUAGACGGUGCUGAAGAAGCUUCAAAAUUCUAACCAGUUCGUGAAGCUAUUCUUCUAUCAAUCCUACAAAAACAAAGCAUAGAACAGAAUAUGAACAAAGAUACAGUAAAACAUCAAAGCACGAAACAGAACAGAGUAUUACUAUUAUGUUGUAAGGAGUAAAUGAAGAGCACCAAUAUUUUGGACCUAAUAAGAAAUGCUAAUGCCGCAGCUUUGAAAGAUAAUAAAUAGGACGAUAAAAAGGGAGAAGAGAAAACUGUACAAAUAACCACGGAGACUUUUUAGGUUUUCUCACGAGAAGGUUAAUCAGAGAGGGAGGUGAAGAGAAGGGGAGAUUGAUUGUAAAGCAAAUUAAGAAAGUUGGACAUAAUCGAGAACUUGAUUAGCGGUUAUGUAUAGGUCUUGAAUGUGAGAAACUUUGGACCACUGGGAGUCGGGGCCGCUGCUCUCAGGAGUGCAUCUUUCUUUUAACAGAGGAGAACCAUAAACCUCCAGACGUUUUAGUUUGGUGAGACUUCUCAUGGCAUCCUCAGAGGGUAGAUGUCCAAGCUCCGUGAAAUGCCGUAAAUGCAGGAAUUCAAGAGCAGCGAAGUUUCCGAACCAAUCUGGCAGAGCUUUUAUACCUCCAAAGUCGCGUAGCCAUAGUGACGUCAGAGUGGUCAAGUAUUGGAUCCGAUGUGGCAGGGACUCCAUGUGUGGCAACCCAAUUAAUGCUAAUUCAUGGAGUGCAGAUUACGAAGAGGAUAUCAAUCCAGACCAAUCAAACUCAUUGUAAAUUGAAGAAUUUUCAUGAUCAUCACCAUCAUCUGAGAAGGGACCAAUUACAAGCUUCCUUAAGCUGGUUAGGAAACCAAAUCCUUUGGGUGUCAUGCUUGUUUUCAGUUUGGGACAGCAGUAUAAUCCCAGCUCCAAGAGAGAAGGCGUUUGUUGCAAAUCAAGCGGAAAGGAGACAAGAUUGUCGCACCAACUCACCUGAAGCUUCUGGAGAGAGGCACAAGAGUGCAGCAAGUCACCGGGCAGAUUCGUCAACCCAUCGCACUCAUCAAUCACCAGCUCUUUAAGAGACGUAAAGUUUUGCAGGGGAAGGAGUUCUCUGCAUCUGUUGCAGAAAUUAAAUGCCAAACGCGCUAACUUGGGUGGUGGUGUUGUUGUUGACUCGGGGAGUGUUGUUGUUGUUGGCAAAUUCAUUAACCAUCGAGGAAAUUGAUUGCCCAUAAAAUUCCAAAUUAUCAACUCCUCCAAAUUUGGGUGGGGUAGAAGGCCAUCUAACACAUCUUCAUCGUUGUAGUUGUCACCUUCUCGAUCAGGGGCCCACUUAAGUUCCAGCCUAAAUAGAUUUGCCUUUUCAGAUAGUUUUGCUUCCUUAGCUCCUUCCUUAUCCUUUACUAGUUCCAGAUUGCGUAUCUCCAAUUUGCCUUUGAGGUUCUUCAAGCAUCCAAGCUCUCCAAUUUGUCGACCCUUCUCUCGACCCACGCUAAAGAACUCUAGAGUUUGAAGGCAAGUCAGCCUUCCCAUCUCUCGCAGCAUUUGAAAUUCUUCAUCAUAAUCUAUGUAAUAGUGGAGAUGUCUCAAGCUAAUCAAAUUGCACAUUCCCUUCGGAAGAUCUUUAACAUUUGAGCCACUUAGCGUCAAUGUCUGCAGAUUAUAAAGCUUGCAAAGGGAGUCUGGCAAAAUACUGAUUGAAGACCAUGAAAGGUUAACAUACCGCAAAUGUAUCAGUUUGCCAAUUGAGACUGGUAGCUCUUGAGUUCUUCUUGCACGAGACAAAUUCAAAACAUACAAGUUCUUCAACUUCAUUAACAUAUCACCAGAUAAGUCACCAUUUACGAUGAAUAAUGUAUGAAACGAAGUUGAUAGACUCUCCAAAAGUUUUUCUCUGUCUUCUCUGGCACCAGAUGAGUCUAUUGCAAGGUAACGAAUCUGAUCACCAUUGUCUACUAUAUGCGUAUUCCAAUCAUUAAUGACUUUGGUAGACUUUGACAUUGACUCUGCAAGGUCGUGCACCAGAUCAUGCAUCUUAUAAUAUGUUAUCCCAUAGCUUCCUGUUUCUUCAAACAAUGAACUCUGCAAUAAAAUUCUCAGAUAAUUAAUUCCAAUUUCCUCCAUCAUCGUUUGGCUGUUGACGUCUGCUUGGAGGAAGCCUUCAGCCAUCCAAAGUUCGAUCAGCAUAUUUCUUUCCAUCUGAGUAUCCUUAGGAAAUAUAGAACAAUAUGCAAAACAUUUCUUAAUGUAUGGAGAUGGCAAAUUAUCAAAACUCAACUUAAGUAUUUGCAUCACACGAUCUCCACCUACACUCAACCUCAGAAGCCUAUUGUCCAAAAUUGAUUACCACUCCUCUUUUCUCUUUAAACGUAACAGACCUCCCAUUACACUUGCAGCCAAUGGUAGACCGUCACAUCUUUUGAUUACUCUCUUUUUAAUUGCUUUUAGUUCAUCAGGUUCUCCUUCCCCUCCAACUACUUUUUCUUUUACGAUAGACCAACAAUGAUCAUCAGGUAGUUUUCUUAAUGGAUAGGCUUCAUUUUCCAUCAUCAAAACUCUAGACACACACUGCGCCACUGGACCUGGACGAGUAGUGACCAGACACCAGCUUCCAUUAGUUGGAUUGAGCCCCUUCAAGGUGUUGAAAAAGUCCUCCCACAAUGCUUGAUCAUCAUCCCACACAUCAUCAAGGACUAGGAAAUAUCUUUUUCCCCUAGGUUGCUCCCAAUUUUUCCAACGAUGACAUUCCUAUCAUCCACUUCAACCUUUUCUCCCGUCAAUUGCAAUAAAAUGAGUUUGAAAAGCUCCACUAUUGGAACUUUUCUCGAUACACAAACCCAAAUUUUUUUGUUAAAGUGUUCAUCAAUUUUCUUGUUGUUGUAUAUGGAUUUAGCCAAAGCUGUUUUGCCUAAACCUCCCAUACCAACUAUGGGAAGAACAGAAACAACCUUCUCGGACGGGCUCAACAACAUCUCUAGUAUAUUUAAUUCAUCAUCGGCUCUUCCAGUCAUUGGAACAAGAACAGAGUCGGUCUGCCGAUUUCUUGUGUCUCCAACAGCAGGAGCAGCAGGGAGGGCAGCAGGCACGACUGCCCUACUGACCAGUAGCAAUCCGUUGGCUUCUUGAUAGAUGCCAUUCAACUUACGUUUGAUGUCCCUGACCUUAGAGGCCAUUCUCCAACGAAAAGCAAGAUUAAUGUUAGAGCAGGAGAAGAAGCAGCAUACCUUGAGCUUGUGUCGGUUUCGGGACUCCACCUGGUGACGAAGAGAUUCAUAGUGGAGCUCAUCCAACACAUUCUGAGCAUCAUAAGCCACCUCAUCGAGACACUUCAACCAUCGUUGCACUCCUCUGCUUUGGUUUUGCCUUUCCUCAGCAUCAGCCAGGACAUCUUUGAUAAGGCCAAGAGAUUGUGCCAUGCUGGCCACGUCCUUCUUGAGCCCAACUAACAUACCAAUCCUAUCAGAGGCAAGAGACAGUGCCCUUUCCAAGGUGACCUGAAUUGUGGCACCGAUAACAGGGUCGGCCAUUUUUUUUUCUUUUGAAUAUACAACUUGGAUUCAGUCUUGCGAUCAAGAUGGUUUUUUAAAAUGGGAGGUUUUAGCAGCCAGAAAUUGGUAAUGUUACAAGUGGUUAAAAGGAGAAGAGCAUUGAUAUUUGGUCAGCUAAAAAAUGCAGAGUUAUUCUUAACUUUGAUGCCUUCCUUUGCAAUGGAAAUAUAUAUUCCUUGCUUGGCAUCUUCACUUUAAAUUUCUUGGAUGCUUUGAAAUGCAGCGUCAUUCUUAACUUUGAUGCCUUCCUUCGCAAUGGAAAUAUAUAUUCCUUGCUCGGCAUCUUCACUUUAAAUUUCUUGGAUGCUUUGAAAUGGAAAUUCCUGGCAUGGGAUUUUCACUUUAACUUUCUUGCUGGGGCCUUCAUCUUUAUUCCAAUUUCCAUUGAGGGCUGACAAUUACAUUUGCUGUUUACUUAACCUAUAUUGCAUUCAUUCGUUAAUCCUGGAAAGAUGAACUAAUUAGAACAUGAUUUGGUCUUAACGCACACCUUAUUCUGUUGGAUUUUUCUUCCUUGCUAGAGACAUAAGUUGUGUCUCAAUACAAAAAUCAAUUAGGCUUCUAAUUAUUUUGUUAUUCAGAAUCUGAUAUCGUUGAGCAUUGAGCCUUUUCAACUUUGCAUAAUCAAGAUGCUGAGUCUAAUUUGGUGGUGUUGCCAUCACAUUAUAUUCCUUGCUUGUGUUAAUACCUUGAAAUGUGGAUGAAGUUUGGCAAAGAAUAACUUGAAAUGUGGAUUUGCUUCAAACUUUAUAUUCUGAAAUGAAGUUUGGCACUAGACGCCUAAACAAUUAUUCAGCCUAACUGCUUUAGAAAAUUUAUCACAGUGCGAUGGUGAUUUAUAGAUUGAUUAUCACAUAAACAAACUAACUCAUUAGCUUGUAAUGCAUAUAAAUGAUAUUUAACCAAAACAUUUGAAUUCAGAACUUAUUUUUUCUCUCUAUCCCUACCAAACCUAAGAAAAAAAAAAGCCACUGAUUUGCAUCUUUAUUUACAAAGUUAAUUUAAUGUACACAUGACUGAGCGUUAUUACAUUCCCUUAGUAAUUAAAAAAAUUUAGUCAAUUGUCCUAAAUUUUCUUAAAAUUGGAAACAUUUUGGGACAAAAAUUAUUAUUGAUCAAAAUUUUAGAACUAAAAUAGUUCAAGUGCCAAAAAUUGAGGACCAUACUUGUUUUUGCUAAAACUUUAGAACUAAAACUGUGCAAGUGCAAAACACUAAGGACAAAAACAUUUUUUCCAAAAGUUAAAAGAAACUUCAAAAAACUGGAAAAAAAUAUUUGCAAUCGGGGAGAUGUGAAAUUUAAGAAACCAGAGUUUUGAGGUUCGAACUUCUAAUUCCUAUAAUCUCAACCUUAACUAAUUGACCAAGGCCUAUUCUGUGCAUAAAGGCUCCUCUAGUGAAGAAGAAUGCAAAUUAUUCGACAAUUUUCCAAUGUUAUAGGAUACCAAAUCCCCUUAUUCCUCCAUGAUUAAAUGCCAAUGCAAAUUUGCUGAAAGAAAGAGGAGCCGUGCAAGUCUGGUGUAGUUGUUUAUUUUUGGACACUUUUGAGGUUUUUUGCCAUGCAACUAUUACCCAAGUCCCUUAUUAAUUUUCUUUUCAAUCAUGUACAUUGAGUGUGCCAAUAGGCACCCAAAAUUCCUGCCUAAAUGGAAAUGCCACCCAUAUAGCUAUCAUUUCUGGGCAUUAACGUGAUUUCUUUCAGCUUUUGGACCUAAUCUUUGUGUUAAACAAUUUACAAAGUCAUCUUAGGGAGCAAAGUGUAAAUAUCUUCAGUUAAAAAGGACAAAGUGUUACGUCUUACUCCCAAGUUCAAGAGGGUAAAGCAUAGUUAGCCCUUAAAUUCAUUCAUCCUUCUCUUUGAAUCUUCUUGGUAGCUUCUCAAAGCAUAAAGAAGCAGGGCCAAGAAUCAGAACAAAGAACACAUAAGAUUGCUCUUUGCUAAAAUAUUUGAGAAGAUUGGGCAGGUUGGGCCGUAGCUCGUAAAUCCUCAACCAUAUAUGCUACAACAGCUUUCAAUUGAAGUUCAGAGAAGAAGUUUUACUUGAUCUUAGGCCUAGCUUCAGCAUUAAUACAGAUCUAGAGUCAUCACUAGCUAGAAGUAAGAAAUUCAAAGAAAUAUGACAAAACAUAUUAAUCCGGUAUUUACUAUGGGCACUCGUUGACAUACUUUUUUUUUUUUGGCAUAGCGACACAUCUAGCCUAGCCUAACCUACUCCUACUCCUAAGAGGGGGGACCUACUAUCUAAGGGAAGCGACUCUAGGGAGUGGGCCUAUAGAGUCGGAGGAACCUGACGGGGACUGAAUCACCAUCAGACCAAACGGGUGCACCACUCACCCACAUGGAUUUAGAGAGUCCUCAUAUUGAGGCACAGUGAUGGAAGGUAAGGUUUAAACCCUUGACCUCCCACCCCACUUGUUGACAUACUUAAAUUAAGCAUAACUUAUUAUGUUAAUACACACAAUCACAAUUAAUUUACUCCUUGUGUUAUAUGUUUUUUUGUAUUAACUACAUUUUUUUUAAAAGACUAACGCAUAAAACCACUCUAAAUGAGUGUCAAAUUGGCACCCAUUAGCCAAACUAUGUUAAUCCAAUUAAGUUAUACCAACAUACGAGCAACUUCAAGCCUUCAAUUAAUAAUGGGUGAAUGUGAAAAGGCUUCAUCAAACAUGAUUUAUAUAUAUAUAUAUAUAUAACAAGACAAUUUCAUUCCAAUAUUUAUACUAAUGGCAGCGAAUACAUCAAACAUGACAUAGAUUUAUAUAAAUCUGAAAAUCAAAUAAUAUAACAGAUUUAAAAAUCUAUAAAUUUGACCAUAACGUUGAAAUUUCAAGAAUAUCUUCCAUCAAAUAAAUGUCAGUACAAUUCGACGAAUCUAUAUCCAUGUCUUUUGACAGAUGCAUAGUCAGAUCUGAUAAAAACUAUUUCAAGUCUAAAGAAAAAUUUAGAUCUAACUUCUAGAUUUAAUUGGAGGAGUUUUAGAGAGAAGGAAGAGAGAAUGAGUUUUAGAGUGAAAAAGAAGAGAGCUUUUGUAAUAUCCAGAUAAUUUGCAGCUAGCACUUGGAGUUUGAUUAGUAUCAAAAGCAUAUUCAAUGACCUAAUUUGCAUCUAAAUACAUGCAGGUGACAUCUUUUCACACUGUUAAAGGACAUUCUGAUUGUUAUCUGUAUCCAUGCAAGCCAUCUUGACAGUUAAGAGGCACUAACAUUUUCAACAUUUGCAGCUAGUUUGGGAGUUUAAGAUAGAACAGAAAAGAAGAGAAAGCUUAAGUUAUGAAAGAAAAAAAAAGAAGAGAUUUAGUUUUGAUAUUGUUUGGGAGUUUAGUAAAAAAGAAAAUUGAUAUUGGAUACAUAUGCCAAAAAAAAUUUGUUUAAUAGACAUUUAAGUAUAAAUUUGAUAUUUUAAAAAUUUUUAGAAAGCUUGCUUCAACUCUGUUUUGUUGGAAAAGUAUUAUUAACUGUAAAUGCUAGAACGAUCCAUCCAAAAUCUUCCCAUUUUUUUUUUCAAUCGCUCCACAACUCCCAAACAUCAUAAAAGAGCUAUAUUCUCUCACUUUCUUCUCAUUUCCUGUCAAAUCUAAGCUCCCAAACAAAGUAUUGGUCUCCACAUGAUGUACAAUUAUCUAACAUAAGCUCCAGCGUGCAAAAUCUAAAAUCAAAGGAUGAAUUAGGUAAAUGUAACUUCAACGUAUACCAAUCUUUUAUUGCCUUUCUUUGAUUACUACCUCUAUUUGCAGCACCCUUCAUAUUUGAAAUUUUGCAAUUUUUGACAGCUAUGGUGAAAAAAAAUAAUGGCUCUAAUGUCACAACACAAAUUUUAUUUCCACAAUAAUAAUAAUUUGCCCUUCUCAAGUCCAAAUGUAGUUUGGACGUAAUGCGUCAUUUUAACAAAAUUUGCUCGGAAAAUAAAUUUUGAGCUAUGGCAAUAUGAUUUGUCCUAACUACUCAAGCAAACAAUGACUGCAAAUCAUUAGCUUGUCCUCCCUCAUCUGUUGAUACAUGUGUCAAAUAUCUUUAUCAUUCCAUUAUUCAAGAAUUAGAGUGAAAUAUAUGCUUUAGUUUGGUAUGAGGGACUCAAUCCGUGCAAACACAAACACUAGAGUAAAAUAUAUGCUAUAGGAUAGUAAUUUUUUUUGUAGGAAAAUAGACUGUAGCACUUGUUUUAAUAUGAUGCAUAUGAGCUAAAAAUAUAAUUAGAAAAUGUGUCAAGAUAUAUUCUUGGAAAAAUCUGAAAAAUUUUUCUACAAAAGAAUACAAUCCAAACAAGGCCUAUUGAUGCCUAACUGACAAGUAAGCUUUUUUUUUUUUUUUUUUUCAAAAACGAUAGGUGUUGUAUUGAUAAAAUCAGAACUUUACACUUGUAAAGCAACAGUUCUGAGAGGCUAUACAAAGGUGUUAAACACCUUGAGGAUUGUUUCAUUCCUCUUCAUCACAAAUACUUACUGCAUAAGUACUAAUAGAUUUACUUAUAUUGUCAUUUGCUAUAUCUAAACAAAAUGAGCAUUUUUGAAACAAACAACUUAAAUUGUUGAUGUCAUCCAUCAGAAUUGCCAGCCUAAUGUCUUUGGUUUUUCUGGACAUCAACGAUGAUAGAAGCUGCUCUUGAUCAAAGCUACUCUUACUGUCUCAGCUAAAUCCACUAUUGGUAUGCUUGUGCCUCUAUUCCUCAUGGCCAAACUGUCUUAACUAACUGACAAGUAAGCUAAUUUGGCACCAAAACCCAAUGUGGAUUUAAUCUGGCCCCAUGAACUGGUAGCCUUUUUUUAUUUGACUUGUCCAAGAAAAGAUUUGAAUGUUCACCCCAAAAAUGGUGGCGGAUCCUUGAGCAUCCGGAAGAAGAAGAAGAAGACUUAUUCCACGGUUGAAAGUUUAAACGUGAAACAAAACCAGAAAAAGCAACAGAGCACACGGUGCCAUUUCAGGGACUGGAAAUGAUAGAAGUUCGCCGCAAGCAGAAUCCAUGCUAUCACAGAGAAGGCCAGUUUUUUGUCUGGCUACUGCAAGUAGAGAAAAGGCACAUGCCCUUCAAGGAGGACCUUGUAAAUUUAGUUCAACAUAACGAGGAAAGGGCACAAGGUAUGAGAAACAAUUUUAGAUUCUAGUUGACAUUUGAGCCCGAGAUCAUUGCAAAACAGGGAAUUCGAGCUGAGGCAAUAUGUGAACAAGAAAGCUAAUCAGAAAGUUCAGAAAAUUUGACAAUAAUUUUGUUCUGUCAAUCUUACAAAAGGCUAAACUGUGUCUUGUUAGUUAUGAAACUAAAUGGAUAAGCAAGUACUGAGUCGUGUUUACAAUUACAGUAGUCUGGUUCCAGCUGCAAAGCAAGUAAUUACAACUCAUAAACUUGAAAAUAAUGAUAGGCAAUUUGUAGCACAUGCAAAACAUUUCACAUUGAGGAACAACAGAGCAGUAUGUGAGAGAUGACAAAUUGAGUUCUAAAACAUGUAAAUCAGCACCUCAUUAUCAUAGCAGAAGAGAAUGCCAUCCUAGAUGUUACUAUCCAACUGAAGCAAGAUCUUUUUCAGCAAGGAAUCAUAGGACUUUCAAAAUGUAAAGAUAGUAAGUAAGAGCCAUCGAUACAGUUCCCUGUUGAGCAUUGUGAUAUUAAAGACAUAAGUAAUAGCCAUCAAUGAGGUUCCUUGUUGAGCUUUGUGCCAAAUAUCACUGCAAAGCACCAAAAACUCAAGCUCAGGAUGGCAUUCAGGAUAGAAUAAAGCUAAUGGAAAUUUUCAGAUAAUUGCAAGUUUUCUGUCAUUGUAACUAAAGCCCUAAAACAAGAAACUUACCAUAAAAAAAAGAAGCAGCCAACAGUCAUAAAAGCAGAGAGAGCUUAAGAGACUUUAUCAAGGUGGAUUCAUUAAAAACAUGAAAUCGCAACAAGCAGACUUAAAUAGCUUAAGUAGGUUUGUACAACUUCAUUUCUUGAACGGUACAUCAUCCUUGGUUCCCUAAAAAAUAUCUCUGUGGCGACAAGAUUUCUUUUGUUUUAUACAUAAUAAAUUGGACAUUAAAGUGGUUAAAAGGCAAAAUUGAGUAAUGAACGAAGAGAAGCAUAUCUAAAAUUAUGGGAAUUUUUGAAUCAAAAGUUAAAAGUGAUGACCAACAUGUCUACAAAUUGCUGAAUCGGUUGGAAAGUUUAAAAUCACCACGCUGACAAGGAAGAUCUCAGGCUUUGGCCAUCCGAGGCAGAGAGCAAAAGGGAAUCUGAUCUAACUGAAACAGUGACAGGUGCCGAACCUGUGCAAUAAUAAAUACCUACUCAAGAAAAUUACAAAUUUUGUAUAUAGCGGUGAGUAGGGUCGAAUCCACAGGGACUGGGAAUAAUUCGUUUCUUCUCGAGUUCAGAGUAUGGGGGGUUUUUGAUGGGAGGAAAAUAAAAAAAAUGAAAUAAAACAAACAAAAUUCAAAACUAACUCACAAAGCACAAUUUACUAAAAAUAGCAAUUAAUAAAAGUUCUACCCAAAGGAUCAGCUGUUCAGACACGGUCCAAUUAAAUGAUCAUCGAUGCAAAGAUAUUUCAUCCAUUCAUUACUAGGUUGGUUAUAGUUAUCAACAAACUCUGACAACUAGUUCUUCCUUACUUUUUCGAUAGUCAAGGUACGACCAUUGACUGCUUCUCUAACCAGAUAACAACCCUAGGUACGACCGUAGGAAUUUAAUUAUCCAAUUGUAUUGAAACUAGAAGAACCCAACCCUAACUAAUAAACACGCUAAGAGGGUUUAUUUAAGUUAGAUCUUACGUUUUCCCAACAUAAACCCAAUUAUGGUGGUUGUCACUAGGUAUCGACUAAACGAACAAUUACGGAUUCAAUUUAGUUAAUAUGACAGUAGGCUAUUAAAUAAAAUCAAAUACCCGGCCGUUGAUAUUCAAUUAAUAAAAUACCCAUGAACAAUUAAUUCAGGAAACGUACGAAUAGCAACAAAUUGGAAAAAGUAAUGAAAGUUUGAUUAGAUCUCACAGAUGUUAUGGACCGCGCCUUCGCGUUAACCUUUGGGUAGAAGAAAAACCUAGCCACUCCUCAUCGUAUCAAUUUUGCGUGGGUUGGUUGAUUUCAUCCGCACAGUCAUCAGCGAAAUAUGAACGAUGGAGUGAUGACGAAAAGAAAGAAAAGAAAACGUCUUCCUUGUCUUUGCGUUAAUGUUUGUACUGAAGCCGAAGUACAACGCAAAAACCAACGAAAAUUGUACAGAGCCAAAGCCAAAGCCAAAGAGUCAAAAACGUGAAAGCCAAAAAGCAAGAGAAGAGUCUACAACGUCUGACGGCUAGGGAAAAAGAAAACUAAAGCUAUCUAAUUCCUAAUACGUGAAUCUGGCUUUCUUUUUGCCUUUUGUAGCCGCCGCCAGCCAAAGCAAUUAGGAGCAGGACUUGUCUAUGGGUUUUAAUCCCACGCAUCUGGUUCACAUGGAUCUAGUGCCUUAAUUGGGUCUCCUGCUAUUGGUCCUGCGGAUCCGGCUUUUCGAGAGCAUCUACCUUUUCUGGCGUGGCCACGCUCUGAGAUGAAGGGUCUUCUGGAAAUUUGCCUCAAGAGAUUACUUUUAACGCCAAUCAUCUGUAAUUCAUACAAAUAUGAAAUAUGAGCAAAACCUCAAUACUUAGCACAGUAAGUAGCUAAAAUUAGGACAAAAUAACAGUGCAAAAUGUGCCAAAUAACCGCUCUAUCAAUUCCCCCCACACCUAGACAAUGCUUGCCCUCAAGCAUUUCAGAGCUCAGAAGUACAACCAAGAGAGCAGAGGUCAUGUAGUAGUCUAUACUAACACAAGCAUUUCAGAUCCCUGACAAUAUCACCAAAAUUAGAACACACCGGACAGGUUGUAAUUCAAAGAAAAUAUAUGAAUACUAGGAACGCUCAAAUCAACAUCACAGAAUGGCAUUACCAUAGGCUUGCACAUUUAUCACAUCUCCACCACUCAAAGGUGAACUAAAUACACAAAUCAAAGGGAAUUUAAUAGGGUUGUAAUGGGGUUUAGGUAAAAGGCGGGAUAAGAAGGUAAAAAUAGGGUGUAAUGUGUCAAGAGAAUGUCCAAUAUCUACUACAUAACCACAAUGCUUUAUCGGGACAAUUUCUCAAGUAGGGCGUUUUCAUUUGCUGUUUUCAUUGUGCAAGUGUCGAAAAUCGUUCCUCUUUUUUUUUUUUUUUGGAGAGGACGUCUAGCAAGGCGUGGGCACGCUCUGGAAGACAGAGUCUUCUGCUCACCAGCUUUUUGCCGAUUUCUCCCUUUUUUUUUCUUCUUUUCUCUAUUUUUUUCUUGGCUUUUCUUUCGAUCUCAGAUGUACAGAAACAGCACCAUACAACAUCUUUUUGACAACACUUGCGCCCAUAGAUUUAUUUGUCUUGCACGAGUAAUGAAUUUCAGACAUCCCUUAAUGACACAAGGUUGAACAAGAAAGUCUAAAAAGGUCAUGGGUUAUCAAACACGGCUAACAAGCAAAAGUAAAAGAUAAAAGCUCAAGUUGGUUCACUAUUGGGAAAUAAGAUGAAGGCAUGGUUUGUAGAAAGUUAAAGAAGGUCAAAUCCUAAAUGCCCUUAUCAUUUCAAAUGCAUCCAGUUCAACAAAAUGUGGUCUCGACAUGUAUAAAAUAGCAAGUUCUAGAAUACCGAUACCAUGUGUGAUACCCACUCAAUCAAACAAUAAUAGAGCAAACAAGAAUAAUGUGCUCAUGCAUGACUCAAAAGCUCCCAAAAGUCACAAAAGUGGGUCAAGUCCAGUAUAUCCAACAUUCAACAAUACUGUCAAGGCAAAACGAAAUGCAUAGCUAGUAUAUCUAACCACAUGCCCGUGCACCUUGAUUGAGUUAUUCAUCAUAGCAAAGAAGUCAGCUAACUACACUCUUUUCCUUUUCCUCCUUUUUUUUUUCUUCAUUUUCCUCCUCUUUUUUUUUCAUUUUUUUUUUGUGUUUUUUUUUUUUUUGUUUUAAAAGCAAAGCAAAAGGAGAUAAUAAAGGAAGCCAUCCCCCCACACCUAAUACCUACAUUGUCCUCAAUGUAGAAAAGAUGAAUGAAGUAUAAGGAGAAAAGGAGAGAAACUUCCCUGACCACCGAGAGGGUGCUGUGAGACACUAAGGCGGAGGAGGGUGAGGUGACUGGAAUCUAAUGUGAGCAAAGAAAGCUAUCUGAUGAGAGAGAUAGUGACGGUGGGGAAGGCAGCGACGUGCGAUGGAUGGCGCGAGGAGAAGAGAGAGAGUUUCUAGCAGCGGUGGACAAAGGGGAAACCUUGGACUAAGACAAAACAAAGAAAAUUGAAAAGUAGAAGUUGAGACAAUGGAAAUUGAUAAGACCAUACAAGACAAGAAAAGAGAAAAGUAGAAAGUGGUAUUAGAGAGGAUCCUGGUCAAUCUUUGACUUUCGUUGGCGCAAAGGCUGGAAGGCGUGGGCACGCCUUGGAAGCUAUAGUCUUCUGACCGUCAAUUCCAAAACUUCACUGCUUAGGCGUGACCACCUAGCGUGGGCAUGUCUAACUUCCUGCUUCCUGCCAUAAAACAAAAAUCCAAUAAAUGACACUAACACUGAACAAAAAAUUUCAAAAAUAUAAGAAAACUAAAACAAAAGAAGCCUUGGGUUGCCUCCCAAGAGCGCCUUUCUUUAAUGUUUUUGGCUAGACAUCGUCAUAUUUAUUCACGGAGGAUAAAAUCGUGUAGCUCGUUUCAGCGCUUCAUCUUCUAUGUAGUCCUGAUAUCCCUCGUAAAUAGAGUAAUUCUUGAGCACACGAGCUACGGACUUCCAUGGAUCAGUAGAUGGCGCCAAACAAACAAGUGAUGACCUUAAAUCUUCACUCACUCCUCCAUCAAGAGCACUUAUUGGUCCGAGAUAUUUUGCCAUCAUGACUCUUAACUUAUUCCUGGCAUGAAAUUCAAAAUCAUCUGGUAUAAUAAAAUCAAUCUCACUAACAGGAAUUAAAGAAUAAGAGUCAGGAAAAUAUUGAUCAAGGAAUGGAGGAGAUGUCACCGCAUUUGGAGAUUGUUCACUGGAUUCAUUCACUUGCACCAUUUGAUGUUGGGGUCUCAAUUCUUGCGCUUCAACUUUCUUUUCAACUGCAUCUUUAGAUUCUUCUUCUUGAGACUCUUGCAGUACCAUAUCAUUUGUCAGAAUAAUUGCACUCUCGUCUUCCUCGUGGUCGAUAAUAGUCGGUGAGGGCAAUUCUUCAUAAAUUGGAGAAAUCAAUUUGCUCAUUUUAGAUGCCCAUUCACGCCUUCCUUCUUACAUCUCUUUACUCAUCUUUUGUGUCUCCUGUUGAAGUUGAUGUACCUCCUGUUGAAUUUGAUAUGUGUUAGUAGCUAUUAAUUCAACUAUUUCUUCAAGAGACAUACCUAACAUGGAUGACGGUUCUUGAGACUCUAACUGUUGUAAAUCUAUUGGUCUUUGUUGAUAAUUAAAAUUGGAAUCAUCCCACCAUCCUUGCUCAUACCCAUUUGAAUAAGGGUCAUACCAUGUUUGAGACCAGGGUGAAAAAUCUCCAUAAUUAUUGAGUGGGACACUCAGAUUAUCUUGAUAUUCGGGGCACAUACCGGUUGAAUGAUCCCUGGCGUAACAAAUUUUACAGGUUGCAGCAGCCAUUCUUUUUCUAAUAGAGUUUAGUGCCUCUGAAUAUGCAAACUUAGCAAAAAAACAAGCCUCAUUGCCUUCCCUGGAAACAAAAUCCAAUCUAUCACCAAAAUACGGAGUGUUAGCGGCCAUAAACUAGUAAAGAAAAAAAAAGAAAAAAAAAUAAGAGGGAAAAAAAAUGGAAAUGAAAAUAAAAUGAACUCAAAAAGAAACAAAUUAAACAGGCACCAGUCGCCGGCAACGGCGCCAAAAAUUGACAGGUGCCGAACCUGUGCAAUAAUAAAUACCUACUCAAGAAAAUUACAAAUUUUGUAUAUAGCGGUGAGUAGGGUCGAAUCCACAGGGAUUGGGAAUAAUUCGUUUCUUCUCGAGUUCAGAGUAUGGGGGGUUUUUGAUGGGAGGAAAAUAAAAAAAAUGAAAUAAAACAAAAAAAAUUCAAAACUAACUCACAAAGCACAAUUUACUAAAAAUAGCAAUUAAUAAAAGUUCUACCCAAAGGAUCAGCUGUUCAGGCACGGUCCAAUUAAAUGAUCAUCGAUGCAAAGAUAUUUCAUCCAUUCAUUGUGAGGACCCGUACUUUUCUUAAUUGCACGUUUUCUGCAUUUUCUUUAUUAGAAAAUUUUUCUAGAUCAAUUUUAUGAGUAAAUAUGGUUUUUAAAUAAUUUUUCUAGUUUCGGUUACUUUUUGAGAAAUUAAGAGCGUAUAUCGGACGUGGGACCCGCUAGUGUGGAAAAUUCGGAAAAAUUCGGCCAGUUCAGUUAAGUUUUGGAUACUGGGUUUAGUUUACCGGGUGUUAUGAGAUAUUUAGAGGUUGCCAAGUGGAUUGGUGUAAGAGAGACAAAAAGUUAGGCAAGCAAUUAAUGAAGAGGACAUGUGUCACUUGAGGAUUUAUUCUUACCUUUUUGACCUUUUGACCACUAUUCAUGCCUUUACCAUUUAAACCAAAAUUGACCCAAAAUUCUUCUUAUUUUGAAGCUCUUGGCCGAAUUUCUCGCUAGGAACAAAGGAAAGAAAACUCUCUCAAUUUUCAAGCUCCAAUCUUGCCCAAUCUUUCAAUUCAACCGUUUAAUCUUCAAAUUUCCAUAGAACUUCUUAGUUUGGUGAUAUUGAGGUUGGUUGUGGAGUUGUUUGGAAGAAUUUGGUGCUAAGUUGCUUACUUUCUUGAGCUUGCAAGGUGAGUAACUAGGGAAUUCUUUCUUUGAUCUUGCUAAUGUCAAAUUAAUGGUUUAUGUUGGUUAUAGAUGUGAUUUUAUGGAAGAAUUGGCACAUGAAUGCAUGAAUUUCCAGAUUAGGGUUCCAUUUUUCCCCUUUCUGCCCGUUUCUGUUUGACCGGGUUAGAAGCCAAAUUGGCCGUAGCACAAAACAUGAAAGUUGUAUACAAUGAUGUUUCCUAGUUGCCUGUAAAUUUUCAGCCCAAUCCGAGCUCAGGAACCUGAGAUAAGAUGGAAAUACCCAGACUGGUCUAGUAGGAGUUCAGGGAACAGGGUUGUCUUUUCACCCAAUCUGACCGGGACUUUUGCACCAUGAUCCUUACCGAAUUAGAUUUUGGCCAAAACAUAAAGUUGUAGCCAAUAGUAUAAAAUAGUUUCCUACAAAAUUUCAGCUUGAUCCGACCACUGUAUCAUGUGAAAUGACUGAAAUACCCUUGACUGUUCAUGAAACCUGUUUCGCGCCCAUAAUUCUGGUUUUGGUGUAGUUUUCCAUUUUUGAUCAUGCAAAUGCAUGAUUUGGCCUUGGAGGUCUUCAUAAUAAAUGUAGGGUUGUGUUUUAGCUUCGAAACACCAUAAGAUAUACUUCAAUCGGACUUCGGUAGCCUGAGUUAUUGCUGUUUAACAAUUGUGCGGUUAGCCAACCUGUUUGUGAGUUUCUGGUUUCAUAUAUGUCAAUUUUGACCUAGUUGUACUACAAACUGGACUGAGUGGCCUUCUUCAACAUUGUAGCCCUAUCUGUUAGCUUCGGAACGGUGUAUCUUGCACCUUCAUCCGAUAAUCGUAGCGCCAAUGGUGCCAAAAUCGCAAAAUGGUGUCAAAAACUGUUUUUAUCCGGAAAUGUUUUUUAGCUUGAUUUUUGUAUUUAUAUGACUUUAAGCCUAGUGAACGGCUUUUGGACAUGAGAUUAUUCUAUAUGAGAUGUUGGGACUGUUUUGAGGAAAAUAAUGAAGCCAUUAAUGGCUGGAAAAUAGGUAAACACAAGGGACAUGCCGUCCAUUUAUCUUCUUGUAAUGUGAACAAGUUAAAGUGAUUUUGCGAAUGUAUUUUGUGACGAAUUGGACGUAUUUACUGAAAAUGUUACCGGCUCUUUCAAAAGGUGGCCGAGGGCUAAAUUUCUAUUUGAACCUGUAUAUUUCCGCUUGGCAAAUAAAAUGAUCAUUUUACCAUUCUAAAACCUAAUACCUCUUUAGGUUGGUUUAUGAACCCUAGUAAUUCCCGUCCACGAAUCCAUAUGCUCUAUUGACACUUUAAAAGUCAUUUUAUACGUUUACUCGCGAGUAGUCGGGUAAUCCUUGAUUUCAUCCAAAUCAUGCUAGAUGGAUUGUAAUGUGUUCUUUGUUUACUUUUAGGUUUCAUUGGUGAUUGAGAAGUGGACGUUAUUUUGCGUGUAUAGGUGAGUGUUCCCUGUUUGAUAUGUUUCAUGAUUUUAUGGCUGGUAUGAAUGAUUGAUAACAUGUUAUAUGCUUUCAGUGAUUGUUAAAACGAGUUUUCUAGGCAAGUGUGUACUUUAUCGCACUCGGCCUAAACGAUUGUGAAAUUUUCAAUGAUUGAAUGAUUGAAAUGUUAUUUGUGCAUGAAUGUAAGCCUUUUGGCUGAACUGGCCAUUGCCCCUUGUUACCGGUCGUCUCGAGCCAGAAGCGGACUCGGUUGGGCGAUUAGGGACCUGGGUGAACGUUUUGGUAUACUCGAGUAUUACCUUGUAGAUUGGUGGAGGUUGGUGGAGCCUGGUGAAUGAAUGAAUGAACGAAUGAAUGAAUGAGGGUUUUACUUAUAUACAAAUGCAUUUUCAAAUGAUUGAAGGUAUAAGGGAACGAAAGGAGAAUGAAUGAACGAAUGAAUGAACGAAUGGCUCCUUGUGAGCACGUAUCCUUUUAAUGAAGGUGUUUAUCGCUUUCUUUUGUAUUUGAAUUAUUGGUAACAUGUAAUGAAUGCUUUGAACUUCUUGUUGCCUAUGUGUUCGGAACCUCACUGAACUUAUAGCUCACCCCUUUAGUUUGUUUUCCUUAACAGGGGAAGGCGAGCAAGGACGAGAGCCGAUAUAGACUAGCUGGGUCUAGCCCUUGGUUUUCUUUUGUCAUGGUUCUCGCCCUAGUGCUUGGCACGGGCUGGUUGUAUAGUGAUUUGAGAACCUCUGUAUAUUUGACGGUUGUACUUCUUCUUGAGAUAUUAUUGUAUAUACGUUUUGUUUUAAGUUGGAUCGUGGUUAGAUGUUCUUAUGGUUGCUUGAAGUGAUCGACUGAGUCCCGGCGAGAGCUGGGCAGGCAGUCCGCCGAACCCUUUGGUUCGCCUUAGGGGAAAGUGGGGCUGUCACAACCAUAAUUAGGUUGGUUAGAUGUUCUUAUUAGGUUGGUUAUAGUUAUCAACAAGCUCUGACAACCAGUUCUUCCUUACUUUUUCGACAGUCAAGGUACGACCAUUGACUGCUUCUCUAACCAGAUAACAACCCUAGGUACGACCGUAAGAAUUUAAUUACCCAAUUGCAUUGAAACUAGAAGAACCCAACCCUAACUAAUAAACACGCUAAGAGAGUUUAUUUAAGUUAGAUCUUACGUUUUCCCAACAUAAACCCAAUUAUGGUGGUUGUCACUAGGUAUCGACUAAACGAACAAUUACGGAUUCAAUUUAGUUAAUAUGACAGUAGGCUAUUAAAUUAAAUCAAAUACCCGGCCGUUGAUAUUCAAUUAAUAAAAUACCCAUGAACAAUUAAUUCAGGAAACGUACGAAUAACAACAAAUUGAAAAAAGUAAUGAAAGUUUGAUUAGAUCUCACAGAUGUUAUGGACCGCGCCUUCGCGUUAACCUUUGGGUAGAAGAAAAACCUAGCUGCUCCUCAUCGUAUCAAUUUUGCGUGGGUUGGUUGAUUUCAUCCGCACAGUCAUCAGCGAAAUUGGAACGAUGGAGUAAUGACGAAAAGAAAGAAAAGAAAACGUCUUCCUUGUCUUUGCGUUAAUGUUCGUACUGAAGCCGAAGUACAACGUAAAAACCAACGAAAAUUGUACAGAGCCAAAGCCAAAGCCAAAGAGUCAAAAACGUGAAAGCCAAAAAGCAAGAGAAGAGUCUACAACGUCUGACGGUUAGGGAAAAAGAAAACUAAAGCUAUCUAAUUCCUAAUACGUGAAUCUGGCUUUCUUUUUGCCUUUUGUAGCCGCCGCCAGCCAAAGCAAUUAGGAGCAGGACUUGUCUAUGGGUUUUAAUCCCACGCAUCUGGUUCACAUGGACCUAGUGCCUUAAUUGGGUCUCCUGCUAUUGGUCCCGCGGAUCCGGCUUUUCGAGAGCAUCUACCUUUUCUGGCGUGGCCACGCUCUGAGAUGAAGGGUCUUCUGGAAAUUUGCCUCAAGAGAUUACUUUUAACGCCAAUCAUCUGUAAUUCAUACAAAUAUGAAAUAUGAGCAAAACCUCAAUACUUAGCACAGUAAGUAGCUAAAAUUAGGACAAAAUAACAGUGCAAAAUGUGCCAAAUAACCGCUCUAUCAAACAGGAUCUGGUUCAGCAAGGGAUCGUAUACCAAGGAUAGUAAGCAAGAGCUAUCAAGUUUAAUGUUGAUCUUUGAGCGUAAACCUACUGCAAAACAUAGAAAAUCAAACUUAAGAAACUCGAGACAGCAUAUAGUCAAGAAUAAAGCCAGCACAUGGUUGCAUGACAUUUUUUUGUAUUUGAAACACUAAAAUAAGAACUUACCAUGAAGAGAGGAGCAACCCAACAAGUGUAGAAGGCAGAAUGAGCUUAAUAGCCUUCAUCACAGCUGAUGAAAUAAUUGCAGCAAGUGGCAGCAGCCAACAAGUACGCUUGGCAGUCUCAAAACUUGCACUCUAACAAUUCUGUGCAGAUUCACUGCAUGAAUAGUAUAUCUUCCGUGGCUGCUCCCAAAAACAUUUUCAUUAUGAGAAGAUUUCUCAAGUUUUGGUUGUAAUAUGUUCAGAAUCAAAGUAGUUAAAAGUCAAAUUUGAGUAGUAAAAGAAGAGUAGUAUAUCUGAAUUUACCAGACACUACAACAAACACCAAUUUGAUGACCAACAGCUCUGAAAACUCCUGAAAUCUUUCGUACUAGAAAAUCAUAACCAAGGAAAAGUGACACAUAAACCCAUCAUCUACGAGACUUAUCGAACAAAUCACUAAUCAAAUGGUUCAAGAAGCUUGAUAAAUGAGCCUUCAAGAGGCGAUUAAACUUUGGAGCAACUAUUUACUUUAGCAAUCACGUCUUACAUCCACAAAAGCAAAUAUAUAAAAUCAACAAAAUUAAACUUCUAGUGCUUAUUUCAUAUUGAUGGGUAACUUGUAGGAAAUGCAAAACAAAAAUUAAUUAAUACCAGCUAUAAAAAUCUAAUCUAAGUUCAUCUAGGGGAGAGACCUCAAAAAUCUGCUUGUUAAGUGCAGGAGAAAGGAGCUCAGUAGAGAAUUGGGGGUUUAAAGUCUUAUAGAAAAGGUUUGUAGAAUUGCUGCUUGUGGUAUCAAAUCUAAAAUGUCCAAUGCAUUUUCAACGUGUGAAACUUCAGAGAGAUCAAUCACUUCAUCCUGGUGAAAUCACAAGUUUACAGAGAGUGCACCGAUGUUAGCAAUCACAGUAACUGAUAUGCAUGAUAAACAAAACUAUGCAACUGAAAAACGUGAUUCAGUUAACCCAAGAAAAUCUCGGUCACUGAAAAAAAUAUGCAACUGAAGCUUUAAGUGUAGUACUGAAACAUGGAUGGUAUUGAAUUGGACCACCAUUUGCCAUGUUUGAUCUUUGCAACAGCGAAUGAGAUGUGAUACAACGGGAGAAAUACCAAUUUGACAUUUUAAAUUAACCAAAAUGAUUGUUUAGUUCCGUUAGUUUAGAUUGGUAUGGAACCGUGCAUGGUUUAUUAGUCGUAAAGGUUAUGAAAUAUUGCACUUAUUCAUGAUAAAGAGUUACUUGGCAGACCUACUCUGUUGCUGCUCCAAUUAUCACUUGAUAUACUUCAAAGGAAAGAAAGGACUUUGAAAAGUAAAGGCGGUGAUUAGGAGCCAUCAGGGUUCCCUACAGAGCUAUAAACCUACAGCAACUGCAAAACAGAAAACUCAGACUCAGGACUUCGCAUUAGCAAAUCAUGAGGCAAACACGAAAUUGCAUGACAUUUUUGUCUAGUCAAUUAUUCAGAAAGCUAAAUCAAUAUUUGUUUUUUUUCUUCUUUUCUAACGUAAAUCAGUAAGCAGGUAUCAAAUCUUUCUGUUCAGUCCACAAGUACCAGAAGCAUCACAAAAACUAUAUUAGCUUUUGUUCAAAACACUGAAAAAGAAAAGUUCUAUAACAAUAAUGACUGGUACCCACAAGCAGGAGAGGCAGAGAGUCCUAGAAUUGCCAUAAAAGCGAACUAUUUGAGACUGCAAGAUGCAACAAGUAGAGCUAAUAACUCAAAUCAUUGCAUUUGAACUUAAACUUCAGAAGAGGAUAGUCUACCAAGUCUCUGCUGCUUGAAAAUGUCUUAAACAUGACAAUUUUUUUAAGGUUUUAGUUAAUGCUUAAACUGCUUAAAACCCAAUAUUAAGUAGUGGAAGAAGAUAGUUGGUAUUAUAAAUUAUCAGACCACCAAUCCCACAACCAAGGGCAGUGAGAGUAAUUCGAUUGACCAUUGGAUUUAGGUCAAGAGAUCAAAGCUGAAGAAAGUAGAAUCCCAUCAUUUAAGAGACAUAAUAAGAAUACCAAUAAUCAGAUAAUUUGGAGCAAGAUGAUAAAUACAUUUCCAAGAGAUGGAAGUUCAGAACAAGCAUAAUUUGGAGCAAGAUGAUAAAUACAUUUCCAAGAGAUGGAAGUUCAGAACAAGCAUUUCCAUCCCGGUAGAAUCUCGAGUUUAAAGAGAAUUAGCUCCUUUCAGCAAUCAUGUUUAACAAGCAUGAGCAAAAGUAAACUGCUAUUUUUUAUUUAAAACAAAGAAUUUUGUACCGUAGAUGAAAAUACAAAAGUUUUCAGCUUUGACAUCAUGUUUAACUGUCCACAUCAAAUAAUCUCCUCUUGAACAUCUGUAUUCCAUAAUUGAAUUUAAUAUAUGGUUAGCGAUAUUGUUUUCUUCCCGGAACAACGCUUGUUGGGUUUUUUUGAAUCAGGCUGAAAAGGCCAGGAAAAGUUCAACAAAGUAGACAACUGACCUUACUGUUACAUUACUAGACAACAUCUUGGAAGCAGACGUUUUAAACAUUCAGAUAUUUUGCAACAAAAUCAUCUUAUUGUACAAUUUCUAUCACCUGAUAUUGGAUAGAUUUAAAAGAAUUUAGUAAUGAUUUCACUGGAGUAUGUUGUCCUGCAGAAACAAUAAACUAGAAAUUGACUCCUAAACUCUUUGUCCAUCAUUGCCUAUCUAUAAUUUUCUGUGUUCCAUCAAACCUUGAUUUAACAAUCUAUUUCAUGAAUGUAAAUGCAUUAUCAUUCCUUUCUAGCAAAUUGAUAACCAAAUGAACUUUCAGAGUACUUAGUUGGAUGAGGACCUUUUAGAUUGAAAAUCUCAGGAAGGUAAAGAUAGAAGAGCAAAUUCCAUGUCAUAUUUGAGCUAGGAAUCUUACAGAAAGAAAGGGUUUCUUUUUGUUACCUUUGUUCUAAAACUAAUGAGCAGGAAAUAAGACUUGAUACCAAGUACAUCUACUAAUCCAUUUAAAACAAAUUCGCUAACCUUACAGUACUUCUUGAAAAUUUGCAAGCUCCUCAUUGUCAAUCUGUUUCUCUAGUACAAGCUCUAUCACCAACCAAACCCCCCAUGAUCAUUAGCAGAAAUUCAUGGUAAUGAUGACUCUUGAUCUUGAAAGACAUUACAUAAGCUGGGGAAAGAAAUUCUGGUGGGCAGUUUGCAGAGGCCAGCUGACAAAGAUAGAGCAUUUUAUCAGGUUUUAAACACCAGGAAGAAAGAAAAGUGUGCCUGUAGUGUGCCAUCCUAAUCAUUUCUGUCCAAUUGAAACAGGAUUUGAUUCAACAAAGUUUUCAAAAGUUACAAGCUGUGCAAUUCAAUCAAUAAGUAAGUGCAAUUGUAGAUUCUAGUUCACAUUUGAGCCUGAGAUCAUUGCAGAACAGAAAACUCGAGUUGAGACAAUAUGUGAGCAAAUGUGAGCAAGAAAGCUAAUCAGCAAGUUCAGAAAAUUCAACAAUAAUUUUGUUCUGUCAUUCCUACAAAAGGCUAAAAUAUGUCUUGUUUGUAUGAAAAUAAAUAGAUAAGCAAGUACUAAGUCAUGUUUACAAUUACAGUAUUUUGGUUCCAACCACAAAGCAAGUAAUUACAACUCAUAAAAAGAAAAUAAUAAUGGACAAUUUGUAGUGCAGGCAAAGCAUUUCACAUUGAGGCAUUGAGAAACAAUAGAGGUGUGGGCCACUGAGGCACAAUAGAGAUCCACAUUUAAUUGCUACCAAAACACCAGUUAGUUCUAACUUCUAACUCUGAGCAGUAUGCCAGAGAUGACAAUUUGAGUUCUAAAACAUGUAAAUCAGCACCUCAUUAUCAUGACUACACAUCACUGGAUCGUUUGGACAGUUUUAAAGAACCAUACCCCAGUGGAUAUCUCAGACUUUGGACAUAUGAGGCACAGAGAAAAAGAGAAUGCCAUCCAGCAAGGAAUUGUAGGACUUUGAAAGAGAAAUCGAUGAGGUUCCCUGUUAAGCUUUGUGCCUAAAAUCACUGCAAAGUACAAAAACUCAAACUCAAGAUGGCGUUCAAAAUAGAAUAAAGCUAAUGGAAAUUUUUAGAUAAUCGCAGGUUUUCUGUCAUUGUGACUAAAGCCCCAAAAGGAGAAACUUACCAUAAAAAAAGAAGCAACCGACAAUCAUAAAAGCAGAGAGAGCUUAAAAGCCUCUAUCAUUAAGAUCAGCAAGUCACAACAAGCAAACUUGAGUUGAAUGUUGGAAGAUACUCCACCAAGUUUUGUGCAACUUCAUUGCCCAAACAGUGCACACCUUCCUUGGCUACCUCAAAAAUAUCUUCGUGACGACAAGAUUUCUCUUAUUUUAUAUGUAAUAUAUUAGAUAUUAAAGUGGUUUAAAGUCAAAAUUGAGCAGCGAAAGAAGAGAAGCAUAUCUAAAAUUAUCCGAAUUUUUGAACCAAAACAUGAAAGUGAUAACCAACAGCUGCGAAAACUCCUCAAUUGACCAUUGUCUUCAUGGAUAAAAAGCCAAAAUCAAGGAAAAGUGAGCCAGAAAACCAUCAUAUAUGACUCUGAUGGAGCAAUUACUACUCAAAUAGUUUAGAUAAGUAUGCAAGUUCAUUAUCAAGAGACGAGGUAAAAGUUCAGUCCCCUUAGAAUCAAGAUUGCCUUCAAUAACCUCUUGAGAGAUGAAAGUUCAGUCCCCUGAUUGAAUUUGAUCCAAAGAUGAAAGUUGGUUAUUAAUCAACUUAUGCAUAGGUCUUGAAUGUGAGAAACUUUGGACCACUGGGAGUCGGGGCCGCUGCUCUCAGGAGUGCAUCUUUCUUUUAACAGAGGAGAACCAUAAACCUCCAGACGUUUUAGUUUGGUGAGACUUCUCAUGGCAUCCUCAGAGGGUAGAUGUCCAAGCUCUUUGAAAAACCAUAAGUGCACGUCUUCAAGAGCCGCAAAGUUUUCGAACCAAUCUGGCAGAGCUUUUAUACCUCCAAAGACAAGUAGCGUUAGUGACGUGAGAGUGGUCAAGUAUUGGAUCUGAGGUGGCAGGGACUCCAUGUGUGGCAACCCAAAUAAUUCUAAUUCACGGAGUGCGGAUGACGAAGAGGAGGAGGAGGAGGAUAUCAAUCCAGACCAAUCAAACUCAUUGUAAAUUGAAGAAUUUUCGUGAUCAUCACCAUCAUCUGAGAAGGGACCAAUUACAAGCUUUCUUAAGCUGGUUAGGAAACCAAAUCCUUUGGGCGUCGUACUUGUUUUCAGUUUGGGACACUUCCAUAAUUCCAGCUCCAAGAGAGAAGGCAUUUGUUGCAAAUCAAGCGGAAAGGAGAAAAGAUUGUAGCAAUAAGUCACCCGAAGCUUCUGGAGAGAGGCACACGAGUGUUGCAUGUCACCGGGCAGAUUCGUCAACCCACCGCAAUUUGUAAUCACUAGCUCUUUAAGAGACGUAAAGUUUUGCAGGGGAAGGAGUUCUCUGCAUCUGUUGCAGCAAUUAAAUGUCAAACUCGCUAACUUGGGGAGUGUUGUUGCUGUUGGCAAAUCCAUUAACCAUCGAGGAAAUUGAUCACCCAUAAAAUUCUCAAUUACCAACUCCUCCAAAUUUGGGUGGGGUCGAAGGCAGUCCAACACUUUUUCGUCGUUGUAGUUAUGGCCUUCUCGAUGCCAAGGCCGGGCCCACUUAAGUCGCAAACUAAAUAGAUUAGCCUUUCAGAUAGUUUUGCUUCUUCAGCUCCUUUCCUAUCCUUUACUAGAUGAAGAUUGUGUAUCUCCAAAUUGCCUUUGAGGUUCUUCAAGCUUCCAAGCUCUCCAAUUCGUCGACCCUUCUCUCGACCCACUUUAAAGAAUGCUAGCGUCUGAAGGCAAGUCAGUCGUCCCAUCUCUUAACGGCAUUUGAAAUUCUUCAUUAUAGGUGUAAUAGUGGAGAUGUCUCAAGCUAAUCAAAUCGCGCGUCCCCUUCGGCAGAACCUUAAGAGCCAAGCUGUUUAGCCUCAGUGUCUGCAAAUUAUAAAGUUUGCAAACAGAUUCCGGCAAAGUUUCGCUUUUAGAACCCUCAAAGUUAAUGUACCUCAAGUGUAUCAGUUUGCCAAUUGAGAUUGGCAGAUUCUGAUUUUUUGCACCGGACAAAUUCAAAACGUGCAAAUUCUUCAACUUCAUUAGCAUAUCAUCAGAUAAGCUACCCUGACUCAGAAACAAUGUAUGAAGCAAAUUUGAUCCACUCUCAAAAAGAUUUAUUGUGUCUUCUCCAAAUGAGUCUAUUACAAGACAACGAACCUGAUUACUAUUGUCUCCUGAACCAGUCUCCGAAUUAAUGAAUUUAGUAGACUUUGACAUUAUUGAUUUUGAGACUUCGUGCACUAUAUCAUGCAUUUUAUAAUACCUUCCCCAAGCGUCUCUUAUUUCUUCCAGCAAAGAACUCUGCAAUAAAAUUUCCAAGUAAUAUUCUCCAAUUUCCUCCAUUGUUUUGUUCUCGAGACCUGCAUGGAGGAAACCUUCUGCCAUCCAAAGUUCGAUUAGCAUAUCUCUUUCCAUCUCAGUAUCCUUAGUAAACAUAGAACAAUAUGCAAAACAUUUCUUAACGGCUGGUGAUGGUAAACAAUCAAAACUCAAUUUAAGUAUUUCCAUGACACCAUCUCCACCUGCACUCAAACUCGAAAGCCUAUUCUCCAAAAUUGAUGGCCACUCUUCUUUUCUCUUUAAAGAUAAUAGACCUCCAAUUACACUUGCAGCCAAUGGUAGACCAUUACAUCUUUUGAUUAUUCUCUUUUUAAUUGCUUUUAGUUCAUCAGGUUCUUCUUCCCCUCCAACUACUUUUUCUUUUACGAUAGACCAACAAUGAUCAUCAGGUAGUUUUCCUAAUGGAUAUGGUUCAUUUUCCAUCAUCCCCAAAACUCGAGACACACUAUGUGCCACUGGACCUAAACGAGUAGUGACCAGACACCAGCUUCCAUUAGUUGGAUUGAGCCCCUUCAAGGUGGUGAAAAAGUUAUCCCACAAUGCACGAUUAUCAUCCCACACAUCAUCAAGAACUAGGAGAUAUCUUUUUCCCCCAAGUUGAUUCUGAAUGUCUUCAACGAUGACAUUCCUAUCAUCCACUUCAACUUUUCUUUUCAUCAAUUGCACUAACAUGAGUUUGAAAAGUUCCACUACUGGAACUUUUUUCGAUACACAAACCCACAACUUUUUCUCAAAUUGCCCAUCAAUUUGCUGAUUGUUGUAUAUCGAUUUAGCCAAAGUUGUUUUGCCUAGACCUCCCAUACCAAAUAUGGGAAGAACAAAAACUACCUUCUCAGAUGGGCUCAACAAUAUCUUCAAUAUGUUUGAUUCAUCAUCGGCUCUUCCAAUUAUUGGAACAAGAACAGAGUCAGUCUGCCGAUUUCCUAUGUCUCCAACAGCAGGAGCAGCAGGGAGGGCAGCUGUCAUCACUAACCUACUAACCAGUCCCAAUCCGUUGGCUUCUUGAUUUAUCUCCUUCAACUUCAGUUUGACGUCCCUGACCUUAGAAGCCAUUCUCCAACGAAAAGCAAGAUUAAUGUUGAGAAGGAAAAGAAGGAGAAUACCUUGAGCUUGGGUCGGUUUCGGGACUCCACCUGGUGACGAAGAGAUUCAUAGUAGAGCUCAUCCAACACAUUCUGAGCAUCAUAAGCCACCUCCUCGAGACACUUCAACCAUCGUUGCACUCCUCUGCUUUGGUUUUGCCUUUCCUCAGCAUCAGCCAGGACAUCUUUGAUAAAGCCGAGAGAAUGUGUCAUGCUGGCCACAUCCUUCUUGAACCCAACUAGCAAACCAAUCCUAUCAGAGGCAAGAGACAGUGUCGUUUCCAAUGUGACCUGUAUUGUUGAGCUGAUAAGAGCGUCAGCCAUUUUUGCUGCCUUGGAUUCAGUGUUGAGAACAAGAUGGUUUUUUUUUUAUGGAAGGUUUUUUGCAGCGAGGAACUGGUAAUCUUAUCUAGGCUAGUAUAAUUGGUUAUGAAAAAAGGAGCAUUAAUAAUUUUUCCGCGUAGACGUGGAGUUCUUCUCUGACAAAUUUGUAAGCUUUUGCAUUGGCGUGUUUACAGAGUAACUUUCUCAAUUAUUGUAGUUGUUGGGGCAUCAUGUUUUCUGAUUAAAAGGUGGGGCCUUCAGAAUUUUUGGUUGUGGACCAUAUUUGUUUUUGUCCACGAUCAAAUCGUAAAAAGGAGAGUGAGAUUCUGUUUUGGUUACAUGCAUGUCAUUAUUGUUAAUCCUUGGAAAAUGAAUUUAUGACAUACAGUAUUUUGGUCCGAAUUUUGUUCGGUUUUGGGAAGCGACCACACUGGGAAGCAAUAAUGUUCUCUGUUUUCGCACUAGCUAUGACGCAUUUUGCUUCUUGGCUUUUAAAUUACCUUUUGUACUUUAGCUAGAGUGUUAUUUGAAAUAUUAUUUGAAAUAAUUACUGUAAUACUUUUUAUGAUGUGAUAUAUGUGAGAUAAAAAGGUGGUUAAGAAUAUAAAAGAUUGAGUUGAAAAAUGUAUUUAUGAUGCAAGCGAAAUAUUAUUUAGAAUAAUAUGGAUAUCCAAACAAACCUAUAUAUUCUCUGUUUUCGCACUAGCUAUGAUGCAUUUUGCUUCUUGGCUUAGUAAUCAGGCUUGAGAUUUUAAAUUACCUUUUGUACUUUAGCGUUUCAAACAUAUAUAUAACAUGAUCGGUAUGAAACCCCUAGCCUUCUACUCCUCUCUUUAAAAUCUGAUAGUCUUUAAUUCAGAUCGGUAUUAAUCUUUUUUGUUAUUUUAUUUCUUAUUACUUUCUUUUUCUAGUUGAUUUUGGAUCCUUUUUUUAUUACUUUUCUAAUUUUUUUUCUUUAGCUUUUGCUGACGCGUAUAUUGGUUUCUCCUCAAACUGGAUGUCUCUCAAUCUCUCUUGUGGGAAUUCAACAUACUUUAAGAUGAAUUUCAUUUUGCCAUUAUCAAGUUUGCACUUAAAGAAUUAAAGUUCAUAUGGGGCUAAGUCAUACUAAUUUCAUAUCUUUGACAUUUAUUUAUCACAAACCUCAAUUCUUCUUUCCUCCAGUGUUUCUUUUCUAUAUCAACUCUCCUUAAUCCCAUUAUUGUCUCACAGCAUAAUCCAGAAAGUGUCAGUAUAUAAGAAUUCUUUUGAAGUAAUUAUUACAAAUAUAUAGUUCCCGUUUCUUGUGGAAUGUUCUGAAUCUUUCCUAAAGAAACAUUUUCCAAUUUGAGUUCCAGAAUUGUUGCAAACUUUUUCGGUUUGCGCAUCACUUUGCAUGUAAGAAUUCAAAAUUUCACCACCAAUUAAAUAUAUAGUUUUCCUCGCAACUUGUCCCAUUUGGAUUGCUAUUUUUAGAAAUUUUUUGUAGAAAAAUAUACUGUAGAGAUUUGAUAUAUGUGAGAUAAAAAUGUGAUUGAGAAAUGUAUUUACAAAAAAAAUGUUAGUUUCCUUUUCUCUUCUAUUUCGAAUUUCUCCCAACUUAUGUUUCCUUGUUGCAAAUCUUGCCAAACUUUAUAAGAUAUGUCUUAUCAAUUUCUUUGAUACCUGAAACACUAGAAAUUUCUCAUUCCUUAUGUGUAUUCUUGUUUAAUUAUUUAAUUUGGUUCCUGAAACACAAGAAAUUAGUAAAGAAUUUCGAUCCAAUUUGGUGCAACGCUUCUUUGACAAAUUGAAUCUGAUGCUUCUGCAAUGGAAGUGUUUUUUUUUUUUUUUAUAGCAACAAUAACUUUCCUACAACCUAAUCUAUUCUAUUCUAUAGAGAGGGGGAACUUAAUUUAUUCUAUUCUACAAGAAGGGAAGCCUAAAAAGACUAUAUAAGGGAGUUGAUAUACAUACCUAAUUAGAUCGUAUUUUGACGCUUUCUUAAAUUUUUUUUCAUUAUGUAGAGUUCGAACUCCACAUUUACGAUCCAAAAAAAAUUAAUCUCUUUUUUGUUGCCGCUGAGCCAAAUCUCCUUUGUUGCCGGGAUUCUUCAGCUGCCUUUGAUCCACAUUCCACAUGCUUGUGUGUGUCUUGGGGGGGGCAUCGGAUGUGGAAAAUUCCACCCAAGAAGGAAAAGAAACGUGUUGAAUGAUGAAGAAAAGAAAAUGGCAAUCAUCAUUGAGACUCUAAUAAAUCUCACUCCUCAGUUCUUGGGACGUGAACGUACAAUUAAUAAUUCCAUCUAAAUUGCUGAUCCUAAGUGGAUCAGAUUUGAAACAUAUUUUAUCCUUUGGGGACUCCUUAGUUUGUUUGCUUUCUGCAGGGGAUUAUGCUCCAAUUUCUUUAAAAUCCACAGACCCCCAAAGUUCUCCAUUUCCGUGCUAGCUAUGUAUUUUCCAUUUUUGUUUAGUUCAAAAUAGCUAGAAAUUUACAGUGGAUGCUUUUGUUUGCUCUUUAACCACCGGUAGAAAGAAGUGCUGCAGUAGUACAUCUUUGACAAACUUGGAUGCCAUUAAUUGCCAUGGAGAAGUUUGCAUGCCAUUAUUGACUUGGCCUUUAUUGAUCAAUGCUUGGCUAGGUAUUUCAUCUUUUUCUGAUUGAAAGCUGGCUGGCGCCUUUGGCUGUGGAAAAUAUCUCAAUGGUUUGUCGGAGUAGUGGUUUGACCCAAGACUGACCCCCGCAAAAAAAAAAAAAGAAGAAAAAAAACUAUGUUCAACGAUAAAAAUGUAAAUGAGAAAGAAGAAAUGACAGCCAUAGCUGGUGACUUUGCAACAUUAAUUGCCUCAGUCAUUAAUCCUUGGGAAAUGGACUAAAAACGUUAUUUUGUGGGGGAAAAACUUUAAUAAAAAAUAAUCCGUGGUUCACUUAUCAAAAACAUGAAGUGGAGUUAGCAAUCAGGUUUGGCAUGUAGCGACAUAAUUGGCCAAUGGUUGGGUGCUUUCUUAGCUUUUACACUUGUGAAAUUGCCAAAAUAGUCACUCGUAAUUCCACAAGCUUUCUAGCACUUUAAAAAUUCAAACAUUUUGUUUCAAAAUGUCUUGUUUAUGUACAGCAUACAAAAUUUAAGUGGUGAAAGUUUAAGGAGUUUCUUUAUUACUAUUUCUUUUUUUGAAGUACAAUGUACAAUCAAUUGAAGUUAGAAGUGAAAUAAACCUUUAGUUCACACUAUGAUUAUAAAAUUUGACUGAAUUGGAUGUUUUGGGAAGGGGGAAAUGAGCGUGUUCUUGCGGAUUUUAAUUUUUAUAAUUGAAUUAUUUGCCUAUGAUAUGAUCACAAGUUUAACUUAAAUAGAGUUGCGAUAAUAGAAGAUUCUCGAAAGAAGACUUCAAAAGGUGGAAAUUGAAAAUGAGUGGAAAUUAAUGGGGAAUUAACCAGUUAUUUGGAUACCUAUUUUUGUAUCCGACUCUUUUAUAAUUAGUUUUUCUUAUAGUUUUUCUCGUUCCUAACAAAUUUGAAUUAUUUGUUCUUAUGGUUCCUCUCUCUUCUAACAAUAUGAUAAAUUUGUAUAAAUUUUUUUAUCCAUAUGGAUUAACUUAGUGUUAAAAAAUUUUAACUGUUAGCUGAUAGAUUUAUCAAUAUUGCUGGAAAUUAAAUAUUUUUUGAUGUAGAAAACAAAUCGCAAAAUCUAUUGUACUCGGUUAAGUAGGAAAAUGUAACUAGGUUUAUGGUUAUUAUAAAAAUUGUAAUUAUCUAAAAAAUAUCCGUACACAAAAAGGUAGAAUAUCUAUUGAUUUUUUUAUAUUUGUUAUCAUAUUUGAUGAAUAUUAUUAUAUUAUAGUAAAAGUAUGUAAAGAAGUAUUUAAAAAUUAGUAUGACAGUUAAGUAUAAUUAUUCUAUUAAUUUUCUAAAAUUAAUAUGAAUGAACUUGUAAGAUCAUCAUUAAUUUUUUAUUUAAAUUAUUCAUGCUUGCACGAAUUCAUUAUAAAGUUUAAAAAAAUAAACAUGCCAAGGCACAUGCAAGACGCUAGUUCAAAUUAAUGUUGUACACGUAUAGGAGUCACAAAAUCGGUUUGGUGCACUAGCAAACAGAAGGGGACAUCCAAAGUAUUGGGACAAGUUUUACAUUAAAGGGGGAGAUUUGUAAAGCAAUUGAGCGAAAACAAAUGAGGUUGAAGAAAAUUUUAUAUCAUUUGCAAUACAUUCAUAAAAGCUAUGACACAUUCGUUAAAAUAAGAAAUAUUUAUUAAUUUGGUGCAAUGUAAUAGCAAACCAAGGAAAAAAAAUAUGAAUGAUCCGUAAGAGGGAAAGAUGUCAUUUGACUUAAAAUAAAAGUGUGAUUGGAUAGAGGUUUAGUUGAACAAAAAAAUUAGAUUAAUGUCAUAGCACUUUUUGUUGCUUGAUAUAAUAUAUAUGAGAUAAAAUGAUGGCUGAUAAAAUUAAAAAAAUGAUUCAGGUAAAUAUAAAUAUUUUUUUUCAUAUAUUUGUGUAAUGAUGACAAUGACAGGGUGAAAACAGUGCAUGCAAAGAAUAAUAAUAAUGAUAACUCUUGUGAGAUGGAUAGCAAUUGCAAGUUGCACACCUUAGAUUGAAAGAUAAUAAAUAGGACGAUAAAAAGGGAGAAGAGAAAAUUGUGAAAAUAACCACGAAAGGGAGACUAUUUAGGUUUUCUCACGAGAAGGUUAAUCAGAGGGGGAGGUGAAGAGAAGGGGAGAUUGAUUGAUUGUAAAGCAAAUUAAGAAAGUAGGUAGGAGGCAAUCUUCUGAUUGAGAGAAAUUGUUAGAAACCUCAAGGGAGGUUUAUGAAAUUAUCCUAAAUAAUUGAUUUUCUAAAAAUUUUAAAGGAGAAAUAUCUAAAAGUAUCAGGUUCACAUGCAAAGCAUGUGCUCCCAUUACUAGUGAGAUAAAAAGGUAUGAUCGGAAAAUGUGAUCAUAGAAAACGUAAAAACUUUAAUCCAGAUAAAUAUUUAUACAAUCACUAAUUAGUUAUUGCUAUUAUUAUUGCUACUUUUUAUACUGUUAUAGAUAUAAGAGGAUUUACUUAUAUUGGCCUUCGAAGUCUUAUAGGCAUGGAAAUGUAGAAAUGCUUUUCUUGUAACAUAUCGCUGAGCUAUCAAGGAAAAUAUUUCAAGCCAAGAUGUGUAAGAUCGAUGUCACAUUGCUGCUUCGUGGAACAAUAUGCACAAGUACUAGUUCGCACGAAAGCAAUUUUGCAAGUAGACACCAUGUAAAAUGUCAGUUUGAUGGACUAAGGUUGACCUUAUAUGUUCCCAUUUAAUUCUUGUAAAAUUGAUUGCCAUAAUUUUAUCUUUCCAACGAUCCCGUCCACCAACUGGGAUCCUUUUUUGAAUACAAAAUUGUGCCUUAGCAAUUCAGUUUUCUAAAUUGCUCUCUGAUUAACAUAAAGUAGAAGGGCUCAAGCUGAUUGAUUCUUGUGCUCUGAGUCCUGUCCUGAGCUUUACAGAUACUAGGAGCAAUGGACAAGUAUCAUCGGACACAACCUGUAGUCAACUGCAGAACACUGAGAAAAAAUAUGUUGCCUGUUAUAGAGCUAAGAUACAACUUCAAGAAGGAUGCAAGCAUCUAUCAGGGUUCAGCUAAUCCACGUUUUCCUGCUACAAAAUACUGCUAGUUUGAACGAUGAGCAGUAUGGAAGAUAUGGCAAAUUGAGUUCCAAAAGAAGUAAAAUAGCACCUCAUUUAACAUAUCUACAAAUUGCUGAAUCGGUUGGACAGUUUAACAACACCAGACAGACAAGGAACUCAAUCCCGGAUGUUUUCAUCUGAUCUGACUGAAACAGGGUCUGGUUCAGCAAGGGAUCAUAGGACUUCAUUACAAAUGAUAGUAAGAGCGAGUUAUCAAGGUUAAUGUUGAUCUUUGAGUGUAAAAUCACUGCAAAACACAAAAACUCAAACUUAAGAAACUCGAGACAGCAUGCAGUCAAGAAUAAAGCCAGCACAUAGUUGCAUGACAUUUUUGUUGUAUUUGAAACACUAAAAUAAGAACUUACCAUGAAGAGAGAAGCAACCAACAAGUAUAGAAGGUGGGGUGAGCUUAAUAGCCUUCAUCACAGCAGAUGAAAUAAUUGCAGCAAGUAGCAGCAGCCAACAAGUACGCUUCAAAACUUGCAGCUUAGUCUUGAUUGUGUCAGAAGAUGCUAUAACAAGUCUGUGCAGCUUCACUGCAUGAGCAGUACAUCUUCCGUGGCUGCUCCCAAAAACAUUGUCAUUAUGAGAAGAUUUCUCAAGUUUUGGUUGUAAUAUGUUCAGAUUCAAAGUAGUUAAAAGUCAAAUUUGAGUAGUAAAAGAAGAGUAGUAUAUCUGAACUUACCGGACUCUUAGAACCAAACACCAAUUUGAUGACCAACAGCUCUGAAAAGUCCUGAAAUCUUUACUCCUAGAAAAUCAUAACCAAGGAAAAGCGAGACACAAACCCAUCAUCUACGAGACUUAUCGAACAAAUCACUAAUCAAAUGGUUCAAGAAGCUUGAUAUAUGCGCCUUCAAGAGGUGAUUAAACUCUGGAGCAACUAUUUACUCCCUCUAGAAUCAAGAGUUAGGGAGCUGAUCACUUUAGCAAUCACAUCUUACAUCCACAAAAGUAGAUAUAUAAAAUCAACAAAACGAAACUCCUAGUGCGUAUUUCAUAUUGAUGGGUAAAUUGUAGGAAAUGCAAACCAAAAAUUAAUUAAUACCAGCUAUAAAAAUCUAAUCUAGUUUCAUCUAGGGGAGAGAACACAAAAAUCUGCUUGUUAAGUGCAGGAGAAAGACGUGCAGUAGAGAAUUGCUGGUUUUAAGUCUCGUAGAAAAGGUUUCUAGAAUUGCUGCAUGUGAUAUCGAAUCUAAAACGUCCAAUGCAUUUUCAACAGGUGAAACUUCAGAGUGAGCAACCAUUUCAUCCUGGUGAAAUCACGAGUUUAAAGAGAGUGUGCUGAUGUUAGCAAACACAACGUACAAAGGACAGUAACUGCCAUUAGUGCAUUUCAUCCAAAACAUGAUUCAGUUCACCCAAGAAAAUCUCAUUCAUUUGCCAUGUUUGAUCUAGUACAGAAACAUGGUAUUGAAUUAAGCCUCCAUUUGCCAUGUUUGAUCUUUGUAUCAGCAAAUAAUAUGUGAUAGAACGUGAGCAAUACCAAUUUAACAUUAGAAAUUAACCAAAAAGACUGUUUAGUUCCAUUAAUUGAUAUGGAGCCGUGCAUGGCUUACUAGUGGAAAAGGUUACGAAAUAUUGUGCUUAUUCAUGAUGAAGAGAUUGAAAUGACUGACUCUGUAUCCAACUUGGCAGACCUAAUCUGUUGUUGCUUCAAUUAUCAGUUGAUAUACUUUCAAGGAAAGAGAGGAUUUUCAAAAGUGAAGGCGGUAAUUAGGAGUCAUCAGGGUUCCCGACUGAGCUUUAAGCCUACAGUCACUGCAAAACAGAAAACUCAAGACUCAGGACUUCACAUAGCAAAUCAUGAGGCUAACUGGAAAUUGCAUGACAUUUUUGUUUAGUCAAUUAUUCAGAAAGCCAAAUCAAUAUUUGUUUCUGUUGUGCUUUUCUAACCUAAAUCAGUAAGAAGAUAUCAAAUCUUUCUGCUCAAUCUACAAGUACCAGAAGUGCCAUAGAAACUAUUAGUUUUUGUUCAAAACACUGAAAAAUGAGAAGUUCUAUAACAAUAAUGAUAAUAAGCAGCACCCACAAGCAUGAAAGGUAGAGAGCUCUAGAAUUGCCAUGAAGGUGAACUCUUUGAGACAGCAAGAUGCAACGAGUAGAGCUAAUUACAACUCUUUGACUCUUAAAAUCUCAAAUCAUGGCAUUUGAACUUAAACUUUAGAAGAGGAUAGUCUACCAAGUCUCUGCUGCUUGAAAAAGUCUUAAACAUGAUAAUUUUUUAAAGGUUUUAAUUAGUGCAUUGGAUAUUAAACUUCUUAAAACCCAAUAUUAAGCAGAGGAAGAAGAUUAUUGGUAUUAUAGUCAGAGUCAGAGUCAUCGAUGAGGUUCCAUGUUUAGCUUUGUGCCUAAAACCACUGCAAAGCACAAAAACUCAAACUCAAGAUGGCGCUCAGGAUAGAAUAAAACGAAUGGAAAUUUUCAGAUAAUUGCAGGUUUUCUGUCAUUGUAACUAAAGCCCCAAAAGGAGAACUUACCAUAAAAAAAGAGGCAACCAACAAUCAUAAUAGCAGAGAGAGCUUAAAAGCCUUUAUCAAGGUGGAUUCAUUAACAGUAGCAAGUCGCAACAAGCAGGCUUGACCAACUACCGGAAUGCUUCAAAAC
Molecule: long non-coding RNA, 35525 nt
Filed under: Coffea arabica (coffee)
Lineage: Eukaryota; Viridiplantae; Streptophyta; Magnoliopsida; Gentianales; Rubiaceae
Description: long non-coding RNA (CARA_LNC005660)
Source: RNAcentral